GAAAUGCGAUACGUAAUGUGAAUUGCAAUUUUUAGUGAACCAUCGAAUCUUUGAACGCACAUUGCGCCCUCUGGUAUUCCGGGGGGCAUGCCUGUUCGAGCGUCAUUACAACCCUCAAGCUAUGCUUGGUAUUGGAUUUGACUUCAUUUUUUAAUGUAGUCAAUCUCAAAGAUAUUGGCGGUGCCCAGCGUAGCCUUGGAGCGUAGUAAUCUCGAUACCGCCCUCAAGAUACCUGGAUACCUGCCUCGUGCUAUUUUAUUGGUUGACCUCGGAUCAGGUAGGGAUACCCGCUGAACUUAA
This 300-nucleotide unclassified non-coding RNA is filed under the name uncultured Helotiales. RNAcentral's name for it is "sequence contains ITS1". The stretch from base 1 to 105 matches the Rfam family "5.8S ribosomal RNA", at positions 50 to 154 of the family's 154-position model. Lineage: Eukaryota; Fungi; Ascomycota; Leotiomycetes; Helotiales. The record is from RNAcentral.